This 778-nucleotide ribosomal RNA is filed under the name Kocuria marina. RNAcentral describes it as "bacterial SSU rRNA". It matches the Rfam family "Bacterial small subunit ribosomal RNA", at positions 65 to 847 of the family's 1533-position model. The record is from RNAcentral. Lineage: Bacteria; Bacillati; Actinomycetota; Actinomycetes; Micrococcales; Micrococcaceae.
AACGCUGAAGCUUGGUGCUUGCACUGGGUGGAUGAGUGGCGAACGGGUGAGUAAUACGUGAGUAACCUGCCCUUGACUCUGGGAUAAGCCUGGGAAACUGGGUCUAAUACUGGAUAUGACCUCCUGUCGCAUGGUGGGGGGUGGAAAGGGUUUGUACUGGUUGUGGAUGGGCUCACGGCCUAUCAGCUUGUUGGUGGGGUAAUGGCCUACCAAGGCGACGACGGGUAGCCGGCCUGAGAGGGUGACCGGCCACACUGGGACUGAGACACGGCCCAGACUCCUACGGGAGGCAGCAGUGGGGAAUAUUGCACAAUGGGCGCAAGCCUGAUGCAGCGACGCCGCGUGAGGGAUGACGGCCUUCGGGUUGUAAACCUCUUUCAGCACGGAAGAAGCGAAAGUGACGGUACGUGCAGAAGAAGCGCCGGCUAACUACGUGCCAGCAGCCGCGGUAAUACGUAGGGCGCAAGCGUUGUCCGGAAUUAUUGGGCGUAAAGAGCUCGUAGGCGGUUUGUCGCGUCUGCUGUGAAAGCCCGGGGCUUAACCCCGGGUGUGCAGUGGGUACGGGCAGACUUGAGUGCAGUAGGGGAGACUGGAACUCCUGGUGUAGCGGUGAAAUGCGCAGAUAUCAGGAAGAACACCGAUGGCGAAGGCAGGUCUCUGGGCUGUUACUGACGCUGAGGAGCGAAAGCAUGGGGAGCGAACAGGAUUAGAUACCCUGGUAGUCCAUGCCGUAAACGUUGGGCACUAGGUGUGGGGGACAUUCCACGUUUUCCGCGCC